GACGAACGCUGGCGGCGUGCUUAACACAUGCAAGUCGAACGGAAAGGCCCUGCUUUUGUGGGGUGCUCGAGUGGCGAACGGGUGAGUAACACGUGAGUAACCUGCCCUUGACUUUGGGAUAACUUCAGGAAACUGGGGCUAAUACCGGCUAGGAGCUCCUGCUGCAUGGUGGGGGUUGGAAAGUUUCGGCGGUUGGGGACGGACUCGCGGCUUAUCAGCUUGUUGGUGGGGUAGUGGCUUACCAAGGCUUUGACGGGUAGCCUGCCUGGGAGGGUGACCGGCGUCAUUGGGACUGAGAUACGGCCCAGACUCCGACGGGAGGCAGCAGUGGGGAAUAUUGCACAAUGGGCGGAAGCCUGAUGCAGCAACGCCGCGUGCGGGAUGAAGGCCUUCGGGUUGUAAACCGCUUUCGCCUGUGACGAAGCGUGAGUGACGGUAAUGGGUAAAGAAGCACCGGCUAACUACGUG
Molecule: ribosomal RNA, 468 nt
Filed under: uncultured bacterium
Lineage: Bacteria
Description: partial 16S ribosomal RNA
Rfam family: Bacterial small subunit ribosomal RNA
Source: RNAcentral